RNAcentral lists this ribosomal RNA (774 nucleotides) under uncultured Neocallimastigales. RNAcentral describes it as "partial large subunit ribosomal RNA". It matches the Rfam family "Eukaryotic large subunit ribosomal RNA", at positions 22 to 636 of the family's 3401-position model. The record is from RNAcentral. Lineage: Eukaryota; Fungi; Neocallimastigomycota; Neocallimastigomycetes; Neocallimastigales.
GUACACGCUGUGACUAGCAUAUCAAUAAGCGGAGGAAAAGAAACUAACAAGGAUUCCCCUAGUAACGGCGAGUGAAGCGGGAAGAGCUCAAAUUUGAAAUCUUAAAGGGUUUCCCUUUACGAAUUGUAGUUUAAAGAAGUGUUUUCUGUUGAGGUUUUGGUAAAAGUUCUUUGGAAUAGGACAUCAUAGAGGGUGAGAAUCCCGUAUUUGACCUUUACUUUCAACUUUGUGAUACACUUUCAAAGAGUCGGAUUGUUUGGGAAUGCAGUCCAAAAUGGGUGGUAAAUUUCAUCUAAAGCUAAAUAUUGGCGAGAGACCGAUAGCGAACAAGUACCGUGAGGGAAAGAUGAAAAGAACUUUGAAAAGAGAGUUAAACAGUACGUGAAAUUGUCAAAAGGGAAGCGUUUGACACCAGUGUUGUUUUUCUGAAAAUCAAUUAAAGAACUGUUUAUGCUAAGUUGUUUAGACUUUAUCAGCUAACUGUUUAGUUUUGAGCUUUUUCUUUAAUGCACUUUUCAGUUAACAAGUCAACAUCAAUUUCUUUUGCUGUAAAAAAGCUUGAGGAAGGUGGCCUGAGAUUCGUCUUAAGUGUUUAUAGCCUCUUGCCUAUGCAGUCGGAGAGAUUGAGGUCUGCAGCGUAGAUCCUUCGGGGCUAAAUGCAUUUGUGCUAAGUUAUAGCAUUUCAUAGACAACUUGUUGACUAUGAUUUGUCUUGUAGCUUACUCGCUUAUGUUAUUUUACCUACGCUUAGGAUGUUGACAGCAGUAUAGACUG